RNAcentral lists this ribosomal RNA (346 nucleotides) under Orthochromis polyacanthus. RNAcentral describes it as "partial 12S ribosomal RNA". It matches the Rfam family "Bacterial small subunit ribosomal RNA", at positions 801 to 1354 of the family's 1533-position model. Lineage: Eukaryota; Metazoa; Chordata; Actinopteri; Cichliformes; Cichlidae. The record is from RNAcentral.
CUUGAUAGUCCCCUACACCUACUAUCCGCCCGGGUACUACGAGCACUAGCUUAAAACCCAAAGGACUUGGCGGUGCUUUAGAUCCACCUAGAGGAGCCUGUUCUAGAACCGAUAACCCCCGUUAAACCUCACCCUCUCUUGUUCUUCCCGUCUAUAUACCGCCGUCGUCAGCUUACCCUAUGAAGGAACCACAGUAAGCAAAACUAGUAUAACUCAAAACGCCAGGUCGAGGUGUAGCAUAUGAGAGGGGAAGAAAUGGGCUACAUUCCCUACUAAUAGGGCAUACGAACAAUGUAAUGAAACAUACAUUAGAAGGAGGAUUUAGCAGUAAGCAGAAAAUAGAGCA